GCCUAUAAAACACCUCGUCCCGUGCCUCCAUCAGGCAUCCAAGCUCAAAGCAAGCAGAUCUAAGCUCCAGGCAGCGUCGCGACAGAGUGAGCUAGUGAGUAGCACGACAACAACAAUGGCUUCCCUGAAGGCCGCGAAGCCCAGCGGAGUUGCGGCGCAGGGCAAGGAGCCGGCGCCCAAGCUCAGCGAGACGGCGACGAAGCCGUCAGCCGCGAAGAGCGGCGGCGUUAAGAAGGCUGAGCAGAAGCCCCGGGAAACCAAAAGGAAGGUGAAGAGCAGCAAACAGGCGGCGGCGGCCAAAAAGUGACGUACAGUACGUGUGGAGUGUAAUGGAGCUUCCAUGCAUGAGUGAAUCCAUGCCAUGUUAUGAAUCUAGUCCUUCCUUUCUUGUAUCUUCCAUGUGACGCGGCGUGUGCGUCCCCUCAUGUGUGAUGAUGCCAGAUGAAUACUACAAAUAAGACGUUGUUGUGACUGUGUGCCAUCGUCGCCUCCUUCAUGCGUCCCUUUGCCGCUUCAUGCUCAAGCAUUAAUAAUGAACUAAUGGUAGUCAUUCUUCCAGCAUAACUACGUGUUCUACGCGUUGUUCAGUUGCAUAUGUAAACAAAAUCUUAGACAUGAACGGAAAACAAACAAAAAAAUAAACCUGGAUCUCGUCCCAUAGGG
Molecule: long non-coding RNA, 663 nt
Filed under: Zea mays
Lineage: Eukaryota; Viridiplantae; Streptophyta; Magnoliopsida; Poales; Poaceae
Description: drought-responsive long non-coding RNA
Source: RNAcentral